This 506-nucleotide ribosomal RNA is filed under the name uncultured bacterium. RNAcentral describes it as "partial 16S ribosomal RNA". It matches the Rfam family "Bacterial small subunit ribosomal RNA", at positions 29 to 523 of the family's 1533-position model. The record is from RNAcentral.
AGUGAACGCUGGCGGUAGGCCUAACACAUGCAAGUCGAACGGCAGCACAGGAGAGCUUGCUCUCUGGGUGGCGAGUGGCGGACGGGUGAGGAAUACAUCGGAAUCUACUCUGUCGUGGGGGAUAACGUAGGGAAACUUACGCUAACACCGCAUACGACCUACGGGUGAAAGCAGGGGACCUUCGGGCCUUGCGCGAUUGAAUGAGCCGAUGUCGGAUUAGCUAGUUGGCGGGGUAAAGGCCCACCAAGGCGACGAUCCGUAGCUGGUCUGAGAGGAUGAUCAGCCACACUGGAACUGAGACACGGUCCGGACUCCUACGGGAGGCAGCAGUGGGGAAUAUUGGACAAUGGGCGCAAGCCUGAUCCAGCCAUACCGCGUGGGUGAAGAAGGCCUUCGGGUUGUAAAGCCCUUUUGUUGGGAAAGAAAUCCAGCUGGCUAAUACCCGGUUGGGAUGACGGUACCCAAAGAAUAAGCACCGGCUAACUUCGUGCCAGCAGCCGCGGUAA